GGAGGGUUAGCUCAGCUGGUUAGAGCGCAUGCCUUACAAGCAUGAGGCCACUGGUUCGAGUCCAGUACCCUCCACCA
Molecule: transfer RNA, 77 nt
Filed under: Bacillota bacterium
Lineage: Bacteria; Bacillati; Bacillota
Also listed under: 3 other names
Description: Firmicutes bacterium (compost metagenome) tRNA-Val
Rfam family: tRNA
About the family: Transfer RNA (tRNA) molecules are approximately 80 nucleotides in length. Their secondary structure includes four short double-helical elements and three loops (D, anti-codon, and T loops).
Source: RNAcentral